Molecule: non-coding RNA, 5696 nt
Organism: Phalacrocorax carbo (great cormorant)
Lineage: Eukaryota; Metazoa; Chordata; Aves; Suliformes; Phalacrocoracidae
Source: RefSeq, a predicted model, not a curated record
UGCAGGGCCUGACCCUGCUUGCUGCAGUCUGGCUGCCCAGGGGUGCCAGGAGGUCAAAAUCCAGGGAAAAUCCCACCACAGGGGAGUGAGGCUCAGCGCAGCACAAGGAAAACAAGCAGCACGACUCACACUGAUGGAAACUGCCCUUAAAACUUGCAGCACGAGUAUUUAGAGCUCAAUCUGAGCCCCCGUUCCCUCUGUACAAAGAGGUUUAUUGUUGGACUGCAGUGCCCAGGGAGGCCGUUUCUGUACUCAGGUGCUGUAGGUACCCCCGAUGCAUCCAAACACCACUUUGGAAAUGGUCUCUCACCAGCCACUCAGGCUGCUCAGCACCUCUUCCUAGUACUAACAGCUGUCAACUGAGGAUGUGAAGAAAUGUUUAGAGUUCAUCCUUUGGCGUGCCUUGAUGAGACGGCCAUAAAGCAAAUCACCCUGGGAUAAAACAUCAAAAGAGGGCAGUCAGUCUGUCAAAUACCGUAGCAAUGUGGAAGAAGUGGAGGCAGAGCUGUAUCAUCAUCUCCAGCAAACCCAUGUCUGAACAGGAGCGAUGCAGACAGGUGAGCCCCAACUCUGUCAUGGGCUGGGAGGAACAGUUCAAGAUACACAGUCUCUUUUGGGGAACUCGUUAUUUAGUUUUAUGACCAUGGAAGAAACCAAGAUGUAUAAACUAUAGGAUCAUGACUCCGUAUAUAGGUAUUCAUGACUAUGAAGAUACACACAGAAGACUCCCAUGGCCAUGUCCAAAACCUGGCGAGAGCAGGGGCGUUCUGACAGCCUUACAAAUCAGUGCAAUGGAAGAAAUACCAAGUUUUUCAUAACAAGCCAGAGUAAGCCCUGCUAGUACAAAGAUACCGAAGGGAUCCUGGACGGUGUCAGCAUGGGUUGAGCGUUUAUUAGCCCUACAUUGGUGCAGACCAGAGCAGCCCCAAGCAGAGCCGCCCGGCCCUCUGCACCCCCUCCCUGGCGCCAUGGGGUUUGCCCAGGCACAUAUCCUUGGGCACUGCCCAGAAGUGUCCAAACCACUUCAGAAGCCAAACUGGGCUCAGGAUGCCCCAGCAAUGUCCCCUCUCAGGACCGAAACACACCCUCUGCUAAACCACCUCCGGGGUCCCUGCAGCUCUGGCACGACUCAUUUGCAACCCAACCAGUGCAUGUUGACUGUUGCUAAUUCCCUGUACAUAUCUACCCAAGGACAAGCCCAGCUCUGCGUGUGUCUGUGUGUGUGUAUCAGAUUUCAGGGGGGUGGCAUUUCUACACCCCCUCCCUAGCACAGAUUUGGAAGGUGUUGGGCAGGCAGCCAUGCAAGUGCCCAGGAACAGGCAGGACGCGAGUGCUAAACCAGCCUUGCACACCUGCAAAGACAAAUAAAUUCUUUAUUUUAACAUCAGACAGUAGACCAUAAAACGAAGCUAUAAGAGCAUAUCACUGCACAUGAAGGGAAAUUCAUUCUGCUGCUAAUGCCCAUAACUUCCCUACUGAGAGUAAUGGAUAUCAACAGGAGAACAGACAUCUGAGAGUGCUAAAACGUGCACUGUUUUUUUUCUAAGCUUGUGCUGGGCACGUUACUUGAAAUACAGAAUUGUUGAGUUCUUCUUUCUCCCCAACCCUCAAGCUGACGUAAAAUGCCCAUGUUUUAAUAGUAAGUGUGAUUAACCAUUAGCAUAAAUUACCAGGGUUACAAUGAAUUCUUAGAACAAAACUUGAUUGUUUCUUCGGAGCUGUGUUCCAGUUAUACACCAAGUGUAAAUAAAAAGCAACUCCUAUAAUGGGCAUCAGAUAAGAAGUCAGACUAAAUGAUGCUGGAGGUCCUUUCCACCUUUCAAAUAUAUAAACAUAUGUAUCAUAUUUAUGAUCUGUGUAUUACAGGGACUGGCCGAUCCUCCGGAGCUGGAGGAAGAGCCAGAUGAUCUUCCAAAGGCAAAGGGAGAGGAGAAAAGCCAGUUAAGUUUCCCAGCCAGGGCAAUGAUUUAUGGAUAGGAGCAUUUUCUAACUUUGACUUCUUCAGCAAGGAGACAAUACGCACACGUCUUGCUGUUCAAAGGACAUCUUGUGCAUAUGAGCAAAUUUGUCCAAAUCGUUUUGGCUCCAGCCACAAUAGUAUGUUUAGUACACUAUUUCCAGAUGUGUUUUGUAUCCCUGUCAGUCCGGCUGCUGCCUCAAGCCAAGAGGGUUAUAUAAGCUGCGAAGCUUAAUUGGAUUAUUUAGCCCAAAUUGUUGGCGGAGAGGCAGCAGGGCCGGGGAACCAUCCGGGCAGCCUGGAGAGGACCUGCACCACCACCAGCUUGCGGGGGAAAGGGAGGCAGCAUGAGCCAUCAAAUAAAUUAGAGAGUUCAUAAAGCAAGACUGGCCUCCCCAUCUCCCUCAAAUGUUUUCUCACGCCUCCCUUCCAUUUGACAGAGGGUGUAUUAUCUGCUGUUUUUUAGAGGUAUGUUUUCCUAUUUUAACAACAUUUUAAAGAAGAAUGCAACAAGCAUUUAGAAGACACAAGCAUUUCCUCUCCACACUAACAAGCAUUUCCUGACCGUGCAGAUCCACAACAUGGAAUAACACAUCCAGCAACUUAGUUUUCCCACAAUAAUAUUUUUUCCCAAACUUUGGCUGUUGCGGCGGCUUAUUUUCCAUUUAAGGGCAUAAUCCUGCUGGCGGGAUAACCCAUCCCAGCGGAUUUUCACAGAUGUAAUUAUUAGGGCAAAGUCCUAAAAAAGAAAAGUGUUGCAACUAUUCUUGGGAAGAAAUCAGGAAAGAGAAGAGAGAGAACCUGAAGAGUUUCCAAAUGCUGUAGCUAUCAAAGCGUGCCAGAAUGAUUUAGUUCCUUUUAUUUUUAAUAAAACUGGAUAGUUAAGGCAGAAGUUAACAAAGCAUCUAAACUGACACCAAACUUUGAGCAGGUCACCUACUCCAUAUUAUGUAAACAAAGGGUACGUGCAUGCUUGAAAGCUACUUAAACCCUUGCCAUGAGGCCCUGGAUGGACUUUGACCGGCUUCACUACAAAGAAUAAUAAUAAUAAUAAAAAAAGCAGCCUGGCAUCCUUCUCUGCCACUGCUGACAACAUUCCCACCUCUCUCCACCAGGCAAAGUGCCACGGAUAAAUUCAACAGAUUAAAACAACCAGAACAGUACAACAGGCAGGGAUGUGCUCAGUUCUGCUGGAAACAGCUACACAAACACUGCAAAUCACAUGCAGCGCUCGGAGAGAGAAGAUGCCUCUCACCCGCCCCAGCUCUGCUCCCCAAAGCAUCAUGCUCACAACAAACCCCUGAAAUCUGGGGCUGCAAAGCUCCAGCGCCUCCAUCCGUGCUGCAAUUCAUUAUGAAUAUUCCCAUGAAUGAGGACCUUCAAUUACCGUGCUGUACAGAGUAAUAGUAAACAGCAGUGGUGACCAAAAAGCUAUUUACAGAAGGGCUCUCUGCUACGAUCCCAUGAUUACUAGUUAUGGAAAAUUUUCAAAAAAAAGGAAUACAAAGAGAGAUUUCCACAGGGCACAGCAAGCCAUACAAUUUGUGCUGUGCUUGGACUUUGUAAAUCAAAAUCCAAGCGAUGUUUACAGCACUCUAGUUAUUCCUAAAACUUCAUUUUUCUUUACUGCUUGCAUUUUAUGCCCUCAGUGAGCUGCAGCCUAAAGCUCUCUGUGUGACUGAUGGAAAGCAGAAAGUCGGCACAGCCUGAUUGGGCAAACCAGCCUCACCCCCCCCGUUAUCUGCAUUAAGAGCUUCAACAAAUUUGUGUAAUACCCAGCAUUAUAGAAAUGGAUUUCCAACCAGAAGAGCAGUUGGCAGGAUUAAACAAGUAGAAAAGCACACGCACAUAAAAAAUCAAAAGGUCUGCACACGAGCUAAUGGAGCAAGCAGAAAAUAACUGGGCAUGCUCCCUGGGCUUGGGGACCGCUUCCUUUACGACAGACAGUAAUGUCUCAUUACGGGAGAAACAAAUACAAUAAAGAUGAAUAUUCCAUCUUCCCCUGGCUACAUUUUAAGUGUUAAGCCAAUACAAAUUCUCAGGUUAUAUUUCACAAAAAUAGCUACUAAAAAAAAAAUGCUGCUGGCAGCGCAGCAAAGCGAAUUUCAUUUGAAAGAUAAAUCCUACAUUCUUCAUAGGCAGAUGUGAAAAUAUAUCAUGCUUUAUCAUAACAGCCCCUCCCAGGAGCAAAAGAAGCCACAGAGUAAAUUUACAACAAAAAAGUCGUUUCUUUUGCCCUUCUUCCCCUAUAUCUCUUAACUCAAUACAGACAAAAUUACUAGCAAACCAGCAGUUACUGUAUCUUAUAAAUAGAUGAUACACACCUUCCCAGCGCCGCGGUGCUCUGCAAAGUCAAUAUGGAAUCAACCCAGCACUUGGGAUCAUCAGUAAAACACUUGGAUGGUUAAACUACACAGAUGCUGCAAUUACUGUCAUCACAAAAUGACCAUUCAGCUCCACUUCUCCACCGAGGCAAGACCGUACCAACCCCUCUGCUAACAAACACCGCCUUGUUGGGGUGUCUGGGCACGAAGGCGCCUGACACCAGCCAGCGGCUGCCAGAAGAUUGCUGGCAAUUUAAGGACCUGCUUAAUGCUGAGCUGGACCAGGACACUGUAGCAUCACUAUUUCUAGCUGAUAAAAGGGCAAGCUCAAUCUACCUCCAUAGUUUCGUGAAAACUCCUACAAACUGACACACGAAAUGGUCUUAAAGCUGCUCUUCGAUGCAGGAUUAUAAACCUGGAUCACCACCACCUUCCCUCCCGCAGCAAGAGCAUCACACUGAAGGGCAAUUAUCCACCUCUUACCAGGAUGGGGCAGGGAACAAAGGAAGAAGCAUCUUUAAUCAAUUAAAUCCCAGCUUGGUCUGAGCUAGCUGGUCCUUGCAAAGAACAUCCCUUGGUCGCUCCCCCGAACAAAAUGAAACUCCCUAUGUGUGCAGACGGUGUUGGAAAUGGGGUGCAGGGCGACAUGCAGCGUACCCAGGAGUGUGCUGGAUGCUUAAACACUAAAACUUGUGACUCCAUUCAGUUCUGCACCUGCAGUUCUCACCUACCCCCACAGCUGGGAAAGGGAUGGAUUCAAGGAUGGGACCGUGGUGACAGGAGCUGGAAUUGUCCCAGGCAGCGGUUUGCAAGAGGGGACUGAGGGUGGCCCCCAGCCUUGUGCCUCUUGCAAUCUCAAGACCACCUUCCUGGAUUCAAAAUCUUUUUAAUUAGGACUGAAUCAUUAGUUACGAUUAGUAACUUUAGCUUUUAAAAAAGUAUGAAGCAGCCAAAGGACUUUUAUCCCACUAACCAGGGGAAAAAAAAAAAAUCUGAAAGAGACCUGGUGUGCUUGGCAAAGCUUUUCUGCUGCCUAAACCAAGGCAGGAAUAAGCUCAGUGAUGCCCUGAGGUGCAACAGAGCUGUGCAAGGGCGGCAGCUCCUCAGAUUUGUAGCUUUGGCCAAACCUUGAUUGCAAAUGCUAGAAAUCCUGCUGGCCCAAAGUCCCUUGGAUUCAAGCACUGGAGGCAAACCUGCACCAAGAACCAGCUGUUUCUAUGGAUCAUAGCUUGGAAAAAAGCUUAGGCUUUUGGGAUUGUCUUUUUUUUUUUUUUUUUAAGAAAGUUGGUUUUCUAUAUAUUCAUUCCAUCUCUAAUCUCCCCUUGCCUUGCAUCUCCAUUUUGAAUUAUUUACCAUCAGGUAUCACAUUCAUUUGCAUACUUUAUGAGGUGCAAAAUAAAUGAUUAGUCAUUACA